This 467-nucleotide ribosomal RNA is filed under the name uncultured bacterium. RNAcentral describes it as "bacterial SSU rRNA". It matches the Rfam family "Bacterial small subunit ribosomal RNA", at positions 329 to 793 of the family's 1533-position model. The record is from RNAcentral.
UACCAGACUCCUACGGGAGGCAGCAGUGAGGAAUAUUGGUCAAUGGGCGCGAGCCUGAACCAGCCAAGUCGCGUGAGGGAGGACGGCCCUACGGGUUGUAAACCUCUUUUGCCGGGGAGCAAGCCUGAGCACGUGUGCCCAGGCGGAGAGUACCCGGAGAAAAAGCAUCGGCUAACUCCGUGCCAGCAGCCGCGGUAAUACGGAGGAUGCGAGCGUUAUCCGGAUUUAUUGGGUUUAAAGGGUGCGCAGGCGGCACGGCAAGCCGGCGGUCAAAUCGCGGGGCUCAACCCCGCCCAGCCGUCGGAACUGCCGGGCUAGAGUGGGCGAGAAGUGCGCGGAAUGCGUGGUGUAGCGGUGAAAUGCAUAGAUAUCACGCAGAACUCCGAUUGCGAAGGCAGCAUGCCGGCUCCACACUGACGCUGAGGCACGAAAGCGUGGGUAUCGAACAGGAUUAGAUACCCCUGUAG